UAAGGAAUAUUGGUCAAUGGACGCAAGUCUGAACCAGCCAUGCCGCGUGGAGGAUGAAGGCCCUCUGGGUUGUAAACUUCUUUUAUAUGGGACGAAACCUAGGCAUUCUUGCCUAAUUGACGGUACCAUAGGAAUAAGCACCGGCUAACUCCGUGCCAGCAGCCGCGGUAAUACGGAGGGUGCAAGCGUUAUCCGGAUUCACUGGGUUUAAAGGGUGCGUAGGAGGGCAGGUAAGUCAGUGGUGAAAUCCUGGGGCUUAACCCCAGAACUGCCAUUGAUACUAUCUGUCUUGAAUAUUGUGGAGGUGAGCGGAAUAUGUCAUGUAGCGGUGAAAUGCUUAGAUAUGACAUAGAACACCAAUUGCGAAGGCAGCUUGCUACGCAUAUAUUGACUCUGAGGC
RNAcentral lists this ribosomal RNA (400 nucleotides) under uncultured bacterium. RNAcentral describes it as "bacterial SSU rRNA". It matches the Rfam family "Bacterial small subunit ribosomal RNA", at positions 355 to 752 of the family's 1533-position model. The record is from RNAcentral.